GGUCUUGCCAGAGCAACCCCAACUCUGGUCUAGACUUCUUUUACAGGUUCCGACGGCGACCGCGACUCCCUCGACUCCAGCUUCUCCGACGCAGGUGGAUUUUUGCACCAACAUGAUUGGCACUAGAGGAAGGGCCUAAACCUUCGCAGUACCCUUGUUCUUAAAGCAGCGCUCAACGGGACCGCCUCCGGUCAUCUUUUCCGACGUCUACUCCUCCUUCCCCCAUUAGGUUUUCGCCCGAUGCCUCCCCGCAAGGCAUCCACGUGGCGAUCCACGACCUCUGCGGCCA
RNAcentral lists this long non-coding RNA (289 nucleotides) under Elaeis guineensis (African oil palm). Its description in RNAcentral is "long non-coding RNA (EGUI_LNC072195)". Lineage: Eukaryota; Viridiplantae; Streptophyta; Magnoliopsida; Arecales; Arecaceae. The record is from RNAcentral.